GCUGUGUCCUGAUGAACGAUUCUGCAGGUGUCAGUGUGUGGUGUCAGUGUGUGGCUGUGUCCUGAUGAACGAUGACUGGAGGUGUCAGUGUGUGGCUGUGUCCUGAUGAACGAUGACUGGAGGUGUCAGUGUGUGGUGUCAGUGUGUGGUGUCUGUGUGUGGUGUCAGUGUGUGUUGUCAGUGUGUGGCCGUGUCUUGAUGUACGAUGACUGGAGGUGUGAGUGUGUGUUGAUGAUGAGCGAUGAACGAUUAAUUGGGCGACACACCACACCAUAAAAGACGUGAUUUUGAGGGUUUUUUUUUUUUUUAAUAGUCCGGGAGGCGUAAAACUUAGUGAAGAGUAAGGAGAGUUGUUUGAAGAUUGAAUAAAAAUAUAAAAGGCCUUUGCUGAAUCUGUAAAA
Molecule: long non-coding RNA, 401 nt
Organism: Aplysia californica (California sea hare)
Lineage: Eukaryota; Metazoa; Mollusca; Gastropoda; Aplysiida; Aplysiidae
Exons: 2
Source: RefSeq, a predicted model, not a curated record